UGGAGAAGGAGUUCAGUGCAAGAGAGA
RNAcentral lists this non-coding RNA (27 nucleotides) under Mus musculus (house mouse). Lineage: Eukaryota; Metazoa; Chordata; Mammalia; Rodentia; Muridae. The record is from RNAcentral.